AGUAAUCCAUGAUGUAGAGUACCACUUAGGUAUCUCAAAAUCCUUUUAACUGCCUUCCAAUGUUCUUCCAAAGGAUGAGAUAAAAACUGGACACCUUAUUUACAGAAAAUGAGAUUUCAGGUCUGGUAAUAGUGGCAUACUGAAGUGCCCCCACAACAGACCUGAACUGAGUUGGAUCUGGAAUAGCAGCAGAGCCAACUUUUGACAGUUUACUUGUAGAUACCAUAGGAGUAGGCAUACUAUUUGCAUUGAGCAUGUUAACCUUAGCAAGCAAAUCAGUUAAGUAUUUAGCUUGAGAAAGAAAGAGUGAACCAUUAGCCAAAUGAGUAACUUCUAUGCCAAGAAAAUACUCCAAUUUUCCCAACUGUUUCAGAGAAAAAUCAGUAUUUAAUUUGCUGAUCAGCUUGGUAAUGAAGGGGGCAGAAUUACCAGUGAUGAUAAUAUCAUCAACAUAGACCAAUACCAUUAUAGUUAAGUUUGCAGUAUGCAGCAGGAAUAGGCUAGGAUCACAUUUGCUGGCAUGAAAACCAUGUUGCAGUAAAGAGCUCUUAAGCUUGUCAAACCAGGCUCUAGGAGCCUGCUUUAGCCCAUAAAUAGCCCUGUUCAGCUUGCAUACAAGAGUCUUGUCAGGAGCUUCAAAACCAGGAGGUUGCUGCAUAUAUACCUCUUCCUCAAGGGUGCCAUUCAGGAAGGCAUUGUUCACAUCAAUUUGNGUAAUCCAUGAUGUAGAGUACCACUUAGGUAUCUCAAAAUCCUUUUAACUGCCUUCCAAUGUUCUUCCAAAGGAUGAGAUAAAAACUGGCAAACCUUAUUUACAGAAAAUGAGAUUUCAGGUCUGGUAAUAGUGGCAUACUGAAGUGCCCCCACAACAGACCUGAACUGAGUUGGAUCUGGAAUAGCAGCAGAGCCAACUUUUGACAGUUUAC
Molecule: long non-coding RNA, 926 nt
Filed under: Lathyrus oleraceus (garden pea)
Lineage: Eukaryota; Viridiplantae; Streptophyta; Magnoliopsida; Fabales; Fabaceae
Description: Pisum sativum (pea) long non-coding RNA (PSAT_LNC022010)
Source: RNAcentral